UGGGGAAUUUUGCACAAUGGGGGAAACCCUGAUGCAGCGACGCCGCGUGAUUUAGAAGGCCUUCGGGUUGUAAAAAUCUUUUCUAUGGGAAGAAAAUGACAGUACCAUAGGAAUAAGGACCGGCUAAUCACGUGCCAGCAGCCGCGGUAAUACGUAAGGUCCGAGCGUUGUCCGGAAUCAUUGGGCGUAAAGGGUACGUAGGCGGGUAAGCAAGUUAGAAGUGAAAUCCUAUAGCUCAACUAUAGUAAGCGUUUAAAACUGCUCAUCUUGAGGUAUGGAAGGGAAAGUGGAAUUCCUAGUGUAGCGGUGAAAUGCGCAGAUAUGAGGAGGAAUGCAGAGGGAGAAGGCGAGUUUCUGGCCAGAACCUGACGCUGAGGUACGAAAGCGUGGGUAGCAAACAGG
This 402-nucleotide ribosomal RNA is filed under the name bacterium. Its description in RNAcentral is "partial 16S ribosomal RNA". It matches the Rfam family "Bacterial small subunit ribosomal RNA", at positions 355 to 776 of the family's 1533-position model. The record is from RNAcentral.